This 2055-nucleotide ribosomal RNA is filed under the name human oral metagenome. RNAcentral's name for it is "bacterial LSU rRNA". It matches the Rfam family "Bacterial large subunit ribosomal RNA", at positions 196 to 1997 of the family's 2925-position model. The record is from RNAcentral.
AAUCAUCUUAGUAGGUUGAGGAAAAGAGAAUAAACAAUGAUUCCGAAAGUAGUGGCGAGCGAAAUUGGAACAGCCCAAACCUUAACAUAACCAUACGGUUUAACGGCCAGAGUUAUGAAAGGGGUUGUGAAAUUAGAUAAUUUUUAUGUAUAGCCGUUGACAACAUCGAAGCCUACUCACUUUUGAGGAACAUCAGCUCGGCCGAGCGGCCAUGAGCGCUUCCGAAAAAGUGAGUAGGUGACGAUCCGACAGUUAUACAUAAAAACCAACAUCGUUAAAUGAGUGGAUAAUGAUAAAAUCCUUUAGAUCAUAGCAGAAGUGUUUGAAUGGCACACCAUAGAAGGUGAGAGUCCUGUACGCGAAAUGGUCUUAGGCAUUAUAUAUCUUUUUUCAAGUAGGACGGGGCACGAGAAACCCUGUUUGAAUCCGGCAGGACCACCUGCCAAGGCUAAAUAUAUUGAUUGAUCGAUAGCGAACUAGUACAGUGAUGGAAAGGUGAAAAGAACCCCGGGAGGGGAGUGAAAUAGAUCCUGAAACUUAGUGCCUACAAGGUGUCGGAGCAGCUUCGGCUGUGACGGCGUGCUUUUUGUAGAACGAUCCAGCGAGUUAAUGUUGUCGGCGAGGCUAAGUCAAAUGAUGGAGCCACAGUGAAAGCGAGCCUUAACAGGGCGAAUAGUCGGCAGUAUUAGACCCGAAACCGGGUGACCUAACCAUGAGCAGGUUGAAGCUGCGGUAACACGCAGUGGAGGACCGAACCAGGGUACGCAGUAAAGUGCUUGGAUGACUUGUGGUUAGCGGUGAAAUGCCAAUCGAACUCGGAGAUAGCUGGUUCUCCUCGAAAUAGCUUUAGGGCUAGCGUUGUGUUAGUAAUCAUCAGGGGUAGAGCUCUGAAAAGGUUUGGGGCCGGCAACGGUACCCACCCUUAUCAAACUACGAAUACUGGUGGUGUAACCACAGCAGUCAGAACGGCGGGGCUAAGCUCGUCGCUCAAAAGGGAAACAGCCCAGAUCAUCGUCUAAGGUCCCCAAUUAACACUAAGUGGGAAACAAAGUGAAAUUUCUUAAACAGCUAGGAUGUUGGCUUAGAAGCAGCCAUUCAUUUAAAGAGUGCGUAACAGCUCACUAGUCAAGAGAUUUUGCGUGGAAAAUGUAACGGGGCUAAAGUGUUAAACCGAAGACAUGGACUUCUGCCUAUGCAGGAGUGGUAGAGGAGCGUUGAUAUCGCAGUGAAGUCAGAUUGGAAAGUCUGGUGGAGCGUUAUCAAGUGAGAAUGCUGGAAUUAGUAACCUUAAGACAGGUGAGAAUCCUGUCGGUCGUAAGAGCAAGGUUUCCAGGGCUACAGUAAUUGCCCCUGGGUUAGUCGGUCCUAAGCCGAGGCGUAUCAGCGUAGGCGAUGGACAACAGGUUAAUAUUCCUGUACAGGUAGUAGUUGUGAACAGUUCACGGUGAAUGACUGGAGCGGAUUAAUGGUUUAUCCGUCCAAGUCUUUAGGGAACUAAAGAUGAGUGAAAGGUAAUCUUCGGAUUAUUGAUUCUGGGUGAAGCACUGGCUAGAAAAGCUGGUUCACUUAUGCUGCUGCCUACCGUACCGCAAACCAACACCGGUGCUCGGGUCGAGUAGACCAAGACCUACGUGAGAACCUUCGCUAAGGAACUCGGCAAAAAAGCGUCCGUAACUUCGGAAUAAGGACUGCCCUCUCAUUAAGAUGAGGAUUUGCUAGAAACUCAGCAGAAGAUUCAGAUUACCUUUUAACUGAAUUUUUCGUUGAGACAGAACACAAAACAGGAUUUGUUUAACAAAUUCGUGUCUUUUCUAGUAGUCUAAUCGUCAUUUUGAUGAGAGGGCCGCAGCUAAAGAGCCCACGGAACUGUUUACCAAAAACAUAGGUCUCUGCUAACGCGAAAGCGGAUGUAUAGGGGCUGACUCCUGCCCGGUGUCGGAAGGUUAAGGGGAGAGCUUUACGGUUCAAACUGAAGCCCCGAUGAACGGCGGCGAUAACUAUGAUCGUCCUAAGGUAGCGAAAUUCCUUGUCGGGUAAGUUCAGACCCGCACGAAU